GACGAACGCUGGCGGCGAGCUUAACACAUGCAAGUCGAACGGAAAGGCCCUGCUUUUGUGGGGUGCUCGAGUGGCGAACGGGUGAGUAACACGUGAGUAACCUGCCCUUGACUUUGGGAUAACUUCAGGAAACUGGGGCUAAUACCGGAUAGGGGCUCCUGCUGCAUGGUGGGGGUUGGAAAGUUUCGGCGGUUGGGGAUGGACUCGCGGCUUAUCAGCUUGUUGGUGGGGUAGUGGCUUACCAAGGCUUUGACGGGUAGCCGGCCUGAGAGGGUGACCGGCCACAUUGGGACUGAGAUACGGCCCAGACUCCUACGGGAGGCAGCAGUGGGGAAUAUUGCACAAUGGGCGGAAGCCUGAUGCAGCAACGCCGCGUGCGGGAUGACGGCCUUCGGGUUGUAAACCGCUUUCGCCUGUGACGAAGCGUGAGUGACGGUAAUGGGUAAAGAAGCACCGGCUAACUACGUG
This 468-nucleotide ribosomal RNA is filed under the name uncultured bacterium. RNAcentral's name for it is "partial 16S ribosomal RNA". It matches the Rfam family "Bacterial small subunit ribosomal RNA", at positions 28 to 507 of the family's 1533-position model. The record is from RNAcentral.